UGAAAGACAUGGGUAGUGAGAUGUUUACCAGUCCCAUCUCACUACCUUGUCUUUG
Molecule: microRNA precursor, 55 nt
Filed under: Stegodyphus mimosarum
Lineage: Eukaryota; Metazoa; Arthropoda; Arachnida; Araneae; Eresidae
Description: microRNA mir-71
Rfam family: mir-71 microRNA precursor family
Source: RNAcentral